This 498-nucleotide ribosomal RNA is filed under the name Nandus oxyrhynchus. RNAcentral's name for it is "partial 12S ribosomal RNA". It matches the Rfam family "Bacterial small subunit ribosomal RNA", at positions 801 to 1533 of the family's 1533-position model. The record is from RNAcentral. Lineage: Eukaryota; Metazoa; Chordata; Actinopteri; Anabantiformes; Nandidae.
UAAACAUUGAUAGCACAUCACACAAACUAUCCGCCCGGGAACUACAAGCGCUAGCUUAAAACCCAAAGGACUUGGCGGUGCUUAAGAUCCACCUAGAGGAGCCUGUUCUAGAACCGAUAACCCCCGUUAAACCUCACCCCCCCUUGUCUCUCCAGCCUAUAUACCGCCGUCGUCAGCUUACCCUGUAAGGGCCUAAAAGUAAGCAAAAUUGGUACAACCCAAAACGUCAGGUCGAGGUGUAGCGCAUGGGGGAGGAAAGAAAUGGGCUACAUUCCCUAGCAUUAGGGAACACGAAUGAUAAAUUGAAAUAUUUACCCGAAGGAGGAUUUAGCAGUAAGCAGAGAACAGAGCGCUCCGCUGAAAUCGGCUCUAAAGCGCGCACACACCGCCCGUCACUCUCCCCGAAAAAACAAACCCAUUUAACUUAAAACCCAAAACACAUAAAGGGGAGGCAAGUCGUAACAUGGUAAGUGUACCGGAAGGUGCACUUGGACAAAU